This is a non-coding RNA of Clostridium sp., 118 nucleotides long. NCBI's taxonomy places the organism in Bacteria, Bacillati, Bacillota, Clostridia, Eubacteriales, Clostridiaceae. The record is from Rfam.
UCUGGUGAUGAUGCGUUUAUGGGAAACACCCGUACCCAUUCCGAACACGACGGUUAAGACGUAAACGGUUGAUGAUACUUGGUGGGGGACCGCCUGGGAAAGUAGAUGAUUGCCAGAA